This 69-nucleotide transfer RNA is filed under the name Desmognathus fuscus (dusky salamander). RNAcentral describes it as "tRNA-His". It matches the Rfam family "tRNA". From Rfam's summary of the family: Transfer RNA (tRNA) molecules are approximately 80 nucleotides in length. Lineage: Eukaryota; Metazoa; Chordata; Amphibia; Caudata; Plethodontidae. The record is from RNAcentral.
GUAUAUAUAGUUUAAUUAAUACACUAGAUUGUGAUUCUAGAAAUGAAAGUGAAAUUCUUUCUAUAAACC